AAGGGGGGUAUUUAUUAGAUAAAAAACCAAUGCCCUUCGGGGCUCCUUGGUGAUUCAUAAUAACUUCUCAGAUCGCAUGGCCUUGCGCCGGCGACGGUUCAUUCAAAUUUCUGCCCUAUCAACUUUCGAUGGUAAGGUAUUGGCUUACCAUGGUUUCAACGGGUAACGGGGAAUUAGGGUUCGAUUCCGGAGAGGGAGCCUGAGAAACGGCUACCACAUCCAAGGAAGGCAGCAGGCGCGCAAAUUACCCAAUCCCGACACGGGGAGGUAGUGACAAUAAAUACUGAUACAGGGCUCUUUUGGGUCUUGUAAUUGGAAUGAGUACAAUUUAAACCUCUUAACGAGGAACAAUUGGAGGGCAAGUCUGGUGCCAGCAGCCGCGGUAAUUCCAGCUCCAAUAGCGUAUAUUAAAGUUGUUGCAGUUAAAAAGCUCGUAGUUGAACCUUUGGCCUGGCUGGCAGGUCCGCCUCACCGCGUGCACUUGUCCGGCC
RNAcentral lists this ribosomal RNA (491 nucleotides) under Massarina phragmiticola. RNAcentral's name for it is "SSU rRNA". It matches the Rfam family "Eukaryotic small subunit ribosomal RNA", at positions 196 to 687 of the family's 1831-position model. Lineage: Eukaryota; Fungi; Ascomycota; Dothideomycetes; Pleosporales; Massarinaceae. The record is from RNAcentral.